CUAAGGCACUACGCCUGGUCCUAUUCUCACAAGUGGCAACUCUCCCUGUUCUGCCAGGUUCCAGCUUCUCCUCCAGGAAGCCUUUCCUGAAUACCCAGGACCCAUCAUGAAUUUGGUGUUCACUCUCUUUGCCUCGACCUCACUGUCAAAUCACAGCACAGACCUGGACAGCCCUGUGUGUGGUCCAGGGCUCAGUGGAUCAAAAAUCUUUCCUUCAGUAUGACAGUAACAGCAACAAGGUCAAGCCUUGGGGUUUCCUGGGGGAGACAGCCAAUGCCACCAAAGCAUGGACGGAAUUGACCCAGACGCUCAGGGAAGUGGGGCAAGAGCUCAGGAUGAUCCUGCCUGUCAUCACGCCGGAGAACAACAGGAGCAAGGUACCACCAUUAAAGUCACCAGACACUACCAGGCUUCAUCAAUUCUACUUAGUUGCAUGGAUCAUCCCAACCAUCUUCAUCCGCUCAGUUCUAAUUAC
Molecule: long non-coding RNA, 475 nt
Organism: Rhinolophus ferrumequinum (greater horseshoe bat)
Lineage: Eukaryota; Metazoa; Chordata; Mammalia; Chiroptera; Rhinolophidae
Exons: 3
Source: RefSeq, a predicted model, not a curated record